This 496-nucleotide ribosomal RNA is filed under the name uncultured bacterium. RNAcentral describes it as "partial 16S ribosomal RNA". It matches the Rfam family "Bacterial small subunit ribosomal RNA", at positions 28 to 506 of the family's 1533-position model. The record is from RNAcentral.
GAUGAACGCUGGCGGCGUGCCUAAUACAUGCAAGUCGAGCGAACAGACGAGGAGCUUGCUCCUCUGACGUUAGCGGCGGACGGGUGAGUAACACGUGGAUAACCUACCUAUAAGACUGGGAUAACUUCGGGAAACCGGAGCUAAUACCGGAUAAUAUAUUGAACCGCAUGGUUCAAUAGUGAAAGACGGUUUUGCUGUCACUUAUAGAUGGAUCCGCGCCGCAUUAGCUAGUUGGUAAGGUAACGGCUUACCAAGGCGACGAUGCGUAGCCGACCUGAGAGGGGUAUCGGCCACAAGGAAACUGAAACACGGCCCAAACUCCCAGGGGGGGCAGCAGGGGGGAAUUUUCAGCAGUGGGGGAAAGCCUAACGGGGCAACGCCGGGGGAGGGAGAAAGGUCUUGGGUUCGAAAAACUUUUUUUUGGGGAAAAAAAAAAGGUGUAAGAAACUAUGCCGUUUUGGAGGGUACCAAAGAAGAAGGCCCCGGUAAACUACGG